Molecule: unclassified non-coding RNA, 107 nt
Organism: Otolemur garnettii (small-eared galago)
Lineage: Eukaryota; Metazoa; Chordata; Mammalia; Primates; Galagidae
Rfam family: Y RNA
About the family: Y RNAs are components of the Ro ribonucleoprotein particle (Ro RNP), in association with Ro60 and La proteins. The Y RNAs and Ro60 and La proteins are well conserved, but the function of the Ro RNP is not known.
Source: Ensembl
GGCUGGUCCCAAGGCAGCGAGUUCUCUCCACUGAAUGUUCAAUCAGCUACAGAGAGGACCUCUUGUCCCACUGUCCCUUUCUUCUUACUGCACUUGACUAGUCUUUA